UAAGUAGACUUCCUUACUAUCCUUUACCUAAUUACACAAACCCUUAUUUUCAAUUUCAUAUCAGCGGACACUGGGCAGCAGCACAUCAGCGGCAUUCUGAUUUUAACGGCUCGUGAUAAAGUUACUAGAAAUCUGGAACAUGGAAAUUGCAAAAACUUCAAAGACGUGCUUUUCUAAACUAACAUUUUUUUUUCGGGUUUCGGGUAACCCGAACCCGAAUAAAACCCGUCGGGUUCGGGUUUUCACGGGUUCGGGUUCGGGUAGGCUAUAUCAAUUGGGUUCGGAUUUGAUUUUUACUAAAUCUGUUUCGACCGACCCGAUUGCCAUCCCUACUCUUUGCUGGGCAUCGGCAAUAGCUGUAGUGGGAGUAAUCCACUAUUUUGGGCAAAUCAUCUUCUGACAUGCAGUUAAUGACUUUGGACUCACAAUUGUAAUACCCCCACUCCAAUAUUUUAUAGCUGAUAGUUGCAAGGGACUGGAUUUGGUCUUCUGCAUUUUGUUGGCACAGUAGGUGGCAUAGGAGGUGGUGUUCUUGCCACUAUAAUGGACAGACAUGAAUUUUGGGGUGUUCCAAGAUGGCGUUGUGCCUUCAUUAUGAUGUCAACUUUUUAAUUGGAUUUCUUGUAUUUUCAUUUGUUGUUGAUCCAAGAUGAACAAUGAGCAGUGACAAUACCUCUAAAGCAAGUUCUGACAGGUGAGUGGAAAAUUAUCCGGAGAAGUGGCGUUGAUUAAUAAUUAAUAGCCUUAUUUUCCAUAUCUUGUAAUACUUGUUUACUCAUGCAUUUAAAAGCAUAACCCAAAACUAGGACUAAUAAUCUGUUUGGGAGUGCUGUUAAAAAUUGCUGUGCGGUCAGGAAAAUGUGCUGGUAAAAAAAGUUUUGUUGCAGAAAUCUGAUAACUGUUUGGUAAGUUUUUUGAUAUUUACUUAUUUUAAGUUAUAAUAUAAAAAAAAUAUUUUUUGUGGUGAGGUUUGAUAGUGAAAUUUGUAACAGCUUCCUGCAAAAGCUGAAAGCAGCUUUUUCCAAAAGAAUGAGAGGACCUGCUUUUUCUAAAAGCAGCUUUUCGGCUAAAAGCUGCUGUUCACAAAAGCUGAUUUUAGAUUUACCAAACAGUUUUUCACCUGCUUUUCAGCAAAAGCUGCUGUUGUUGUCUGCAGCAACCCCAAACAGUACCUAAGUGAGCUUUUUAGUAGUACUUGCUUACUCUAUCUCUUCAAUUUUUUACGUAAGCUUUGGUAGAAAAGGGGACUGCUACUCCGACAUCAGUAUGGCUAGAAUCUUGGAAAGCAACGAAAGAUGUCCUUAAGGUUUUGACUACAACAGUGCGGCAACCCUCCUCAGUCUAUUUGCAACUGGAUGUGCCAUCAAAUCUUUCUUGGGUGGUGUAAUAGAAGACUAGAUUACCCGGAUCUACCCUCAUUCUGGACGCAUGAUGUGUGCACAGUUUAAUGCAUUUGUAGGUAUCCCUUUCACCUGGUCCGUUCUUCGUGUAAUUCCCCGGUCAGUCAGAAGCUAUUACACAUUUGAUGUGAAACUUCUUAUGAUGGGCCUUACCAUUAGCUGGAAUGCUAUUGCAGUCAAUGGCCCUAUGUUUGCUAAGGUGGUCCCUGCCAAGCAUUGGACUAUGAUAUAUGCAUUUGAUCGAGCUUUUGAGGGAUCUUUCUCUUCGUUUGCUACUCCAGUUGUUGGAAUUCUUGCAGAGCAGGUAUAUGGUUACAAUCCUAGGCCCCGCCCAGCGCCACCAGUCCCUCUGUCCUACCCCACAGGCGCCCCAUCCUAACCCCAACCCUCAUUGCUCCCUCUCCCUUGUCCAUUCCUCGACCCCGACCUUUCUCAUUACUCCAACAACCUCUCCACUCCUCUCCGGAGACCAAAUCUCUUCUCUAUCUGUCCACAAACUCAUCAUUCUUCUCCAUCCAUGUAAUUUUCGACCUAAUCUAUGUGCUUUGUUAUUAUAUUUUUAAUAAGUCAAUUAAUGCCCCUAGUUGUGGUCAAUCAAUGAAAUCUAGUGAUGGUCGAAAUUAAUGGUGGUAGUGGUAAUUUGAGGUUGAUUUGUAUAUAUGUAUUUAUUUAUUAAAAAAACUGAGCAUUCACAAAAUAUAAUGUUGCAAUCACUGAUUACUACUCCCUCCGUCCCAAAAUAGUUGUCACAUUUGGUUUUGUGCCGGUCAAAUUGACUUAAGUUUGACUGAAAUUUAUUAAUAGUUUAUUAAUUGAUAAAAUAAAAAAAAUAUGUCACCGGAAAUAAUUUUUAAUCUACUUUAAGAUGUAAUUUUCAGUUUUUAAAAUAAUGAGUGAUUGACUUAUAAUCUUUGGUCAAAACUUAGUCAAUUUGACCAACAAAAAUAGAGAUGUGACAACUAUUUUGGGACGGAGGGAGUAGUUUUUAUUAUA
Long non-coding RNA from Daucus carota subsp. sativus, 2393 nucleotides. RefSeq lists it as uncharacterized. The transcript has 3 exons. NCBI's taxonomy places the organism in Eukaryota, Viridiplantae, Streptophyta, Magnoliopsida, Apiales, Apiaceae. The record is from RefSeq and is a predicted model, not a curated record.